GAGUUUGAUCCUGGCUCANGAUGAACGCUAGCGGCAGGCCUAACACAUGCAAGUCGAGGGGUAACAGGGAGUGCUUGCACUCCGCUGACGACCGGCGCACGGGUGCGCACCGCGUAUGGAACCUACCUUUUGCAGGGGAAUAGCCCAGGGAAACUUGGAUUAAUGCCCCGUAGUACUAUUUUGCGGCAUUGCAUUAUAGUUAAAGCCUUCGGGCGGCAAGAGAUGGCCAUGCGUCCCAUUAGCUUGAUGGUAAGGUAACGGCUUACCAUGGCUACGAUGGGUAGGGGCCCUGAGAGGGGGAUCCCCCACACUGGUACUGAGACACGGACCAGACUCCUACGGGAGGCAGCAGUGAGGAAUAUUGGACAAUGGAGGAGACUCUGAUCCAGCCAUGCCGCGUGCAGGAAGACGGCCCUAUGGGUUGUAAACUGCUUUUAUACGGGAAGAAAAACAGCUACGUGUAGUUGACUGACGGUACCGUAAGAAUAAGGACCGGCUAACUCCGUGCCAGCAGCCGCGGUAAUACGGAGGGUCCGAGCGUUAUCCGGAAUUAUUGGGUUUAAAGGGUCCGUAGGCGGGCCAUUAAGUCAGGGGUGAAAGUCUGCGGCUCAACCGUAGAAUUGCCUUUGAUACUGGUGGUCUUGAGUUAUGGUGAAGUGGCUGGAAUAUGUAGUGUAGCGGUGAAAUGCAUAGAUAUUACAUAGAACACCGAUUGCGAAGGCAGGUCACUAACCAUAUACUGACGCUGAUGGACGAAAGCGUGGGGAGCGA
Molecule: ribosomal RNA, 771 nt
Filed under: uncultured bacterium
Lineage: Bacteria
Description: bacterial SSU rRNA
Rfam family: Bacterial small subunit ribosomal RNA
Source: RNAcentral